UAACACAUACAUCAAUGAGGGCAGCAUUUAAUUGUUCUGCCAAUAAACACAAAUAUGAGUUUUUGGAUUUAAAAUGAAAAUCAAAGUCUCAAGAAUAAUGUCAACCAUGGCCGUGUUAAUAGGAUGUAACCGAUCAUAACCCUAAAGGCAACACGUCAUAAGUUACUGGUCACUUCUAAAGAAAGUUUGUGUGUUUGUUGGUCUUAGAAAAGUUUGUGUGAUUGU
Melanotaenia boesemani (Boeseman's rainbowfish) is the source of this 225-nucleotide long non-coding RNA. RefSeq lists it as uncharacterized. The record is from RefSeq and is a predicted model, not a curated record. Lineage: Eukaryota; Metazoa; Chordata; Actinopteri; Atheriniformes; Melanotaeniidae. The transcript has 3 exons.